GAGGGUAUAACUCAAGCGGUACAGUGUGUGCUUAGAAUGCAUGAGGCCCUGGGUUCAAUCCCCAGUAACUCUG
This 73-nucleotide transfer RNA is filed under the name Camelus bactrianus (Bactrian camel). It matches the Rfam family "tRNA". Rfam says of the family: Transfer RNA (tRNA) molecules are approximately 80 nucleotides in length. Their secondary structure includes four short double-helical elements and three loops (D, anti-codon, and T loops). Further hydrogen bonds mediate the characteristic L-shaped molecular structure. tRNAs have two regions of fundamental functional importance: the anti-codon, which is responsible for specific mRNA codon recognition, and the 3' end, to which the tRNAs corresponding amino acid is attached (by aminoacyl-tRNA synthetases). tRNAs cope with the degeneracy of the genetic code in two manners: having more than one tRNA (with a specific anti-codon) for a particular amino acid; and 'wobble' base-pairing, i.e. permitting non-standard base-pairing at the 3rd anti-codon position. The record is from Rfam by way of RNAcentral. Lineage: Eukaryota; Metazoa; Chordata; Mammalia; Artiodactyla; Camelidae. RNAcentral also lists the same sequence under 2 other names.